Molecule: small RNA, 152 nt
Filed under: Spisula solidissima (Atlantic surf clam)
Lineage: Eukaryota; Metazoa; Mollusca; Bivalvia; Venerida; Mactridae
Source: RNAcentral
UGGGUCAUCUGGAGUUAAGAACUGUGUCACCGGUGUAACUACGACAGGUGAGCGACCUAGGGCCCUUUGGGCCCUCUUGUAUGUUGUGGCAAGAUGCUUCAAAUCUUAGUCAUGAGUUAUCGAUCGUUUGUAAUCAUCUUGAUAUGGGUACC